GAGGGUGGUUGCACGGCGGAGCCGGUAGUGGGGAGGGCCCCGCCUUG
Molecule: non-coding RNA, 47 nt
Filed under: Prorocentrum micans
Lineage: Eukaryota; Dinophyceae; Prorocentrales; Prorocentraceae
Source: RNAcentral